This 464-nucleotide ribosomal RNA is filed under the name uncultured Bordetella sp. RNAcentral's name for it is "bacterial SSU rRNA". It matches the Rfam family "Bacterial small subunit ribosomal RNA", at positions 916 to 1381 of the family's 1533-position model. Lineage: Bacteria; Pseudomonadati; Pseudomonadota; Betaproteobacteria; Burkholderiales; Alcaligenaceae. The record is from RNAcentral.
GACGGGACCCGCACAAGCGGUGGAUGAUGUGGAUUAAUUCGAUGCAACGCGAAAACCUUACCUACCCUUGACAUGUCCGGAAUCCCGAAGAGAUUUGGGAGUGCUCGCAAGAGAACCGGAACACAGGUGCUGCAUGGCUGUCGUCAGCUCGUGUCGUGAGAUGUUGGGUUAAGUCCCGCAACGAGCGCAACCCUUGCCAUUAGUUGCUACGAAAGGGCACUCUAAUGGGACUGCCGGUGACAAACCGGAGGAAGGUGGGGAUGACGUCAAGUCCUCAUGGCCCUUAUAGGUGGGGCUACACACGUCAUACAAUGGCCGGUACAGAGGGUAGCCAACCCGCGAGGGGGAGCCAAUCCCACAAAGCCGGUCGUAGUCCGGAUCGCAGUCUGCAACUCGACUGCGUGAAGUCGGAAUCGCUAGUAAUCGCGGAUCAGCAUGUCGCGGUGAAUACGUUCCCGGGUCUU